AACAGGGUGACACCCACAGAUUGGGAAC
RNAcentral lists this non-coding RNA (28 nucleotides) under Cricetulus griseus (Chinese hamster). Lineage: Eukaryota; Metazoa; Chordata; Mammalia; Rodentia; Cricetidae. The record is from RNAcentral.